Molecule: ribosomal RNA, 306 nt
Filed under: uncultured Alphaproteobacteria bacterium
Lineage: Bacteria; Pseudomonadati; Pseudomonadota; Alphaproteobacteria
Description: bacterial SSU rRNA
Rfam family: Bacterial small subunit ribosomal RNA
Source: RNAcentral
CUCCGUGCCAGCAGCCGCGGUAAUACGGAGGGGGUUAGCGUUGUUCGGAAUUACUGGGCGUAAAGCGCGCGUAGGCGGACAUUUAAGUCAGAGGUGAAAUCCCAGGGCUCAACCCUGGAACUGCCUUUGAUACUGGGUGUCUUGAGUUCGAGAGAGGUGAGUGGAAUUCCGAGUGUAGAGGUGAAAUUCGUAGAUAUUCGGAGGAACACCAGUGGCGAAGGCGGCUCACUGGCUCGAUACUGACGCUGAGGUGCGAAAGUGUGGGGAGCAAACAGGAUUAGAUACCCUGGUAGUCCACACCGUAAA